This 1067-nucleotide ribosomal RNA is filed under the name marine metagenome. Its description in RNAcentral is "bacterial SSU rRNA". It matches the Rfam family "Bacterial small subunit ribosomal RNA", at positions 424 to 1520 of the family's 1533-position model. The record is from RNAcentral.
UGUAAAGCUCUUUCGUCGGGGAAGAAAAUGACUGUACCCGAAUAAGAAGGUCCGGCUAACUUCGUGCCAGCAGCCGCGGUAAUACGAAGGGACCUAGCGUAGUUCGGAAUUACUGGGCUUAAAGAGCACGUAGGUGGUUAAGAAAGUUGGUGGUGAAAUCCCAAGGCUUAACCUUGGAACUGCCACCAAAACUUUUUAACUAGAGUGUGAUAGAGGUAAGCGGAAUUUCUAGUGUAGAGGUGAAAUUCGUAGAUAUUAGAAAGAACAUCAAUUGCGAAGGCAGCUUUCUGGAUCAUUACUGACACUGAGGUGCGAAAGCAUGGGUAGCGAAGAGGAUUAGAUACCCUCGUAGUCCAUGCCGUAAACGAUGUGUGCUAGACGUUGGAAAUUUAUUUUCAGUGUCGCAGCAAAAGCAUUAAGCACACCGCCUGGGGAGUACGACCGCAAGGUUAAAACUCAAAUGAAUUGACGGGGACCCGCACAAGUAGUGGAGCAUGUGGUUUAAUUCGAAGAUACGCGCAGAACCUUACCAACACUUGACAUGUUCGUCGCGACUUUAAGAGAUUAAAGUUUUCGGUUCGGCCGGACGAAACACAGGUGCUGCAUGGCUGUCGUCAGCUCGUGUCGUGAGAUGUUGGGUUAAGUCCCGCAACGAGCGCAACCCUCACUUUUAGUUGCCAUCAUUUAGUUGGGCACUCUGAAAGAACUGCCAGUGAUAAGCUGGAGGAAGGUGGGGAUGACGUCAAGUCCUCAUGGCCCUUACGUGUUGGGCUACACACGUGCUACAAUGGCAUUUACAAUAGGAAGCAAAACGGCAACGUAGAGCAAAUCCUAAAAAAAUGCCUCAGUUCGGAUUGUACUCUGCAACUCGAGUACAUGAAGCUGGAAUUACUAGUAAUCGCGGAUCAGCGUGCCGCGGUGAAUACGUUCCCGGGUCUUGUACACACCGCCCGUCACACCAUGGGAGUGGGUUCUACCUUAAGGCAAAGUUUAAAACCUUUGACCACGGUAUAGUCAGCGACUGGGGUGAAGUCGUAACAAGGUAGCCGUAGGGGAACCUGCGGCUG